AUGUUUUCAGUUAGUCUAAAUAUUUCGAAGUACUUCCAUAGCCAAAAGUGCUUUGGCGUCACUUCUUCCGAGGUCGAUUGGAGUAGCUGGGCAUGGCUUCGUCAUGCGUUGAGUGUGCUUUGGCGUGACUUCGUCGGACGUAGAGUGAAACGGCUGGAGGUGGCUUUGCGUAUCAAAUGUCAAGUGGCCCAGUUGCGUGUGAUGUCUUCAAGCCAUCUGAGUUGCCGAAUCGCAUGUGAUGUCUUCAAGCCAUCUUGGUUGCCGACUUCUAAAUUUUUGGUGUGUGCUUCUGCGGCCGGCUGUACUUGUUUAUAUAUGGAUGGAGGUGCAUGGGUUGAGGUGGCCGAGACCGUGAAAGCAGAUCGGAAACCUGUCUUUUUUUUCAUGUCUUGGUUCCUGUUUUGGAACUUCCUCACGUGA
RNAcentral lists this ribosomal RNA (420 nucleotides) under Triticum aestivum (bread wheat). Its description in RNAcentral is "partial small subunit ribosomal RNA". The record is from RNAcentral. Lineage: Eukaryota; Viridiplantae; Streptophyta; Magnoliopsida; Poales; Poaceae.